AACGAACGCUGGCGGCGCGCCUAACACAUGCAAGUCGAACGCGAAAGAGGGGCAACUCUUGAGUAAAGUGGCGCACGGGUGAGUAACGCGUAGGCGAUCUACCUUUGCGAUCGGGAUAACCAGCCGAAAGGUUGGCUAAUACCGGAUAGAGCGCAGGGAGCAUAAAGCUUCAUGCGGGAAAUGAGGGCGUAGCAAUACGCUCUUGCGCUGAGAUGAGCCUGCGUCUCAUUAGCUAGUUGGUGAGGUAAUGGCUCACCAAGGCUUUGAUGGGUAGCUGGUCUGAGAGGACGAUCAGCCACACUGGAACUGAAACACGGUCCAGACUCCUACGGGAGGCAGCAGUGGGGAAUUUUGCGCAAUGGGGAAACCCUGACGCAGCAACGCCGCGUGGAGGAUGAAAUCCCUUGGGAUGUAAACUCCUUUCGAUGGGAAGAUUAUGACGGUACCCAUAGAAGAAGCCCCGGCUAACUUCGUGCCAGCAGCCGCU
Molecule: ribosomal RNA, 487 nt
Filed under: uncultured bacterium
Lineage: Bacteria
Description: bacterial SSU rRNA
Rfam family: Bacterial small subunit ribosomal RNA
Source: RNAcentral